GUCCAGGACAAGGGAAGUGUUCUGACGGAGGUACUAAGUCGUGGUACCAGGCGGUCCGUCACACAGAGACAGAAGCUGUUAUCUGGGACUGCAGAUGAGCAAUGGGAAACCACUAAGUAAAACUGCACUUGUUGUCUUGUU
Molecule: long non-coding RNA, 141 nt
Organism: Bombina bombina (fire-bellied toad)
Lineage: Eukaryota; Metazoa; Chordata; Amphibia; Anura; Bombinatoridae
Exons: 2
Source: RefSeq, a predicted model, not a curated record